GCGACUGCUCCCGCGAGGUCAGAGCCGGGCUGUGCCGCUGCCCCCGGGACUAGAAAGGGAAAUCUCCUUGCUAGAGGAGGAAGCCCUAAGAACUCAAGGGAGAUAGGGGUGGCAGGGGCAUUUCCCUGGAUGCCUGGAGCAUGGAGGGUGCGAAAUAAGGAGGCUUUCCUACCCCAUUGAUGAGCUGAAGUUGAUUCCGCACGGGGGAGGAAAGGGACAGGAAGCAUAAUUGGAUGUGCAAGCCUGUGGUUCUUCAGGAAGUUAACACGUGGAACUAACACUGUUGGAUGCUGCUGAACUCUCAGGUGAUUGAUGUGACUAACCUCCUCAGAAAAAUCAUCAUUGACAUCCAACACCAGCACUGGAAUGUUCAUCAGAGCCUCAAAGUGGAGCCUAUAAGAAGCGUGAACGUUUGGGGGACAGAAAAAAAGAAAUGUAACUUGAGUCAAGUUUCACAUACUCGCCAAGUCUUACUCAGAGAACAGAUCUAAAUUCAACAUGACUUUUCAAAGAAACUGCAUGUAAACUGCAUUUAAAAAAACAAAUUCAAUAAAGUUGGCCGGAAACAGAA
Molecule: long non-coding RNA, 571 nt
Filed under: Homo sapiens (human)
Lineage: Eukaryota; Metazoa; Chordata; Mammalia; Primates; Hominidae
Description: non-protein coding DGUOK-AS1:3
Source: RNAcentral